This 645-nucleotide long non-coding RNA is filed under the name Heterocephalus glaber (naked mole-rat). RNAcentral describes it as "lncRNA (ENSHGLG00100048699.1)". Lineage: Eukaryota; Metazoa; Chordata; Mammalia; Rodentia; Bathyergidae. The record is from RNAcentral.
GUCCAUGGUCAGCUGGCUUCAAGACAGAAACCAUCAUGGUGGAAGGGUAUGGCGGAACAAAGCUGCUCAGUUCAUGGCAGCUGGGGAACAGUGCCAGAGAGGAAGAGGCCAGGGAGUGCUUAGCUAGAGACUGGAAGCACAGGGAGCAGAGCUCUUCCACUGGUGGACAGUUUGCUGAGUAUGCCUGGUACACUGAAGGCCUUCUCUUCGCCUCUGGUGGGGUAGGUGCAGCUCUACUGGCAGCCUCGGAUUUUGAUAGCAAGGAAUGACUUCUGAGGCAGAAGGAAAAUCUACUCAAGUGCAAUCCUGGAGAUGAAGGAAGGAUUGAAGAACAAUAGAAAAGCUGCUGCAUAUUGAUGGAACAUGUGUGGAUUUGAGGCAUGUGACAUAGUGACUUCACAGUGCAGGCCUUGGAGCCUACAUGACUUGGAUUCCAGGCCUGGUCCUACCAGCGUGAAUUGCACACUCCAAGCAAGUCAUACUUCCUUCACACCUUGGUCUUCUCAUCUGUAAAAAGGAAAUCAUGACACCCAAGGGAGAGUCAGGAUGGUGACCUAGUGCCUGCCUCACAGGUUCAUAGUGAGGAUAAGCAGGCCAAGGCAAGAAAGCCCUUACUUAGCAUGGUGCAGGCAGCCCCAGACCUGG